Molecule: long non-coding RNA, 514 nt
Filed under: Daucus carota (carrot)
Lineage: Eukaryota; Viridiplantae; Streptophyta; Magnoliopsida; Apiales; Apiaceae
Description: long non-coding RNA (DCAR_LNC007559)
Source: RNAcentral
GAAUAUGCAACAUUCUCGGCAUUCAUCUCUUUCACAUAUUAGCCAUGUUCUCUUCCACUACAAGUGUGAAGUGCAUCGUGUGUGCUAGCAUGCUCUCUAGUGAAACAAAACAAAGACUAUCAAACUUCAACAGAGUCCUCACUAUGAGCCGUUAAUCAGAAUCAGGCUUAAACACUUCUUUACUAAAGAGUCAACUACAAUUUAGGGUCAUUAAAGAAUUCCUAUGCCUCUCCUAUUUUUUUUUCUAUUUUUUUUCUUUUUCUUGCUAAGUCUAAGGUUGGGACGCUUCUCAGUGUAAGUGAGUCACGACCGCCAUUCGACUUCGCUUAUUUUUUUUCUUUUUUUUUUUAAUCAAGUAUUUCUCCAGUAAUCAAGGGUUGUGAAAAGUCACCAAGAAAAUGCUUAUUCUAAUACAUUUGCACUUAAUACCAGCACAAGUACAUGGAUCGUCCUUUUCACAUGACAUUGCAUUUUACCCAUUGAUCUCAAAGGAGUACCCGAUAAUUUUUAUUCU